Molecule: long non-coding RNA, 12601 nt
Filed under: Marmota monax (woodchuck)
Lineage: Eukaryota; Metazoa; Chordata; Mammalia; Rodentia; Sciuridae
Source: RNAcentral
CAGAUCCUCCGGGACCCACGUCGCCCCGUGCGUUGGGCUGCAAGAGGCAUCAUUCGGUAGGAGUCUCUUAGGUCCAUUCUGGACCUAUGGAAGUGUGUGUGUGUGUGUGUGUGUGUGUGUACCAAUCCAUGCCUUUUCUUACUAAAUCUCCACCAGACCUGAAAAAUAGUGUUCCCAUUUUACAGAUACCACCUGAGGGAGUCCUUAGCUAACUCUGCAACCCUCCCUCUGCCUCAGAAUGCACACUCCUACCCUCGUUCUUUCAUCCCCAGUGUCCUUAAACUCACCACCAUUUACCUUUUACACUUGAUGUACAUUUUGUGAUAUUCCUGCCGUCAGCUCUAGAAUGUAAAUUCCAGGAGGCAGUGGUUUUGUUCUUGCUCACUGCUCUAUCGCAGAGAGAAGAGUAGCACAGGAUGUGCAAUGGAUGUUUGCUGAACAAGCGAGGACACUGCCCUUAAAGUGUUUUGCCCCAAGGCUACAUAUUGUAAGCGGCAGCGCUAGAACUUGACCCCGUUAUUAUACAUUCUCAAACUGGAGGCUUUUCCAGUUCACCCACUGUCUCAUGUCAUUGUUCAGGUUUGACUUGUGGUAGGAUUAGUACUAUCUACCUCACAAAACACAAGGCAUGCAAAAGAGAUAAUGGAAAGCAUUCUGCCAACUCUAACUAGUUAUACCCAAAUGCAUGAGAUCUCACAGGUCUUCAUUUAUAUAUUUAUUUUAAAAUUGGAUUGGGAAUGUAGCUCAGUGGUAGAGCAUUUACCUAGCAUGCAACAGGGCCCUGGGUUUAAUCCCUAGUACCGAAAAGAAAAAUUAAGCGCUUACCACUUGUGUGUCCUGAUGUAACUUUUAGUCUAGUUAGGAAGGCAGAUCAUCAAGGAUCACAAAGAGAAUUAUAUGAUUCAAAAUAGCAAUGGAUGCUAUAAAGAGAAAUAAUAACAACAGGGUACUGAAUUUACACAUCAGGGAGGCAAUUCCCAUCAGGCUGGUGGAAUAGCUUUGUGAGAUCUGGUCCUGGGAACUGUGGAAUGUAGGGCACUAAAAGAACCUCCAUCUGAGAGGAGGAUAGAGAAUGGUUCUCUUUAGACAAGUUUAGGACCCUCUUUAACUUCUUUGGGAUGUUUCCUGGCAGGUCAGUUAUUUCAUGCUGGGUUCUAAUGUAUUUAAAAGUAGAAGCAAGUCGUGGAAUGGAGUAACACCUAAGCAUUAGUAGUUAAGUGAGCACAGUGCUCACCUCUCUGAGCCUCAGUGCCUGUAUGUGGAAAAUGAGGAUAAGAGAAUUGAUCUCUGUUAGAGGACUGAAUUAAGAAAAUGCUUGUAGUUGACAUCACACAGUGUAAGUGGCUUACAUGUUAGCUAUCAUUUUUGUUUGUUUGUUUGGGGAAAUAUGCCUUAGAAAACUGGGUUUGGAAUGGACCCUAGAAGUCAUGUAGUCAAAUAGUUUGUGUCUUAUUGAGAUGCCUCGAUUUCUAUUCUUUCUUGUGCUGCCCAUUAUUGAACUAUUUCUCAAAUUCCCUUCAAUUAAAGGAUGUGCAAAAGAGACAUAGGAGGAUAAGCAGUUGUUUAAAGAAAAUGUGUUAUAUGGAAUCACACUGCAUGACCUUUCUGUUCUCACCUCAAAAAUCUUGAGGCGGGAACAGAAAGGUCAUGCAGUGUGAUUUACUUACAGUGCUCUUUCUUGAGAACUGUACACAGCAGGCCUCUGCCUGAAGCACUCCUUAGGGUGCCCAUGCCUCAAACCUCAAAGCCCUGCAGUCACUCUGUCUAGUUUUCACCACUGUCUGCAUUUUAUUCUCUCAUUUUUUUCUGUUGUCAUUGUCUCCCUCUCUUACCUCUGAACCCCACAAAGGGAGAGACAACAUCGGGUUCACUAUUCUGUCCUCAGUGCCAGAGCAAUGCCUACAACAGAGCAUAUCUUCAAAUAUGUAUUGAGUGGAUGUGAAGCAAUAAUGUUGAGGAAGUAAAAGAGAAACAUGUUUGUCAAAAAGGGUUGAAGGAGGGGCUGUGGCUGUGGCUGUGGCACAGCAGUAGAGCACUCGCCUAGCACGUGCAAGGCCCUGAGUUCCAUCCUCAGCACCACAUAAAAAUAGAGAAAUAAAUAAAUAAAAUAAAGAUAUUAAAAAAUAUAAGCAUAAUAUAUUUAAAAAAACAGCCUGUUUUCUCCACUUAUGAACUUCACAUAUGUUUGCACACUACCAACAGAGUGGACCACUCAGAAUUAAAUAUAAUAAUCUUGGCUACAAAAUUCUCACCGCUCUUGAUCUUUUGAUGCUUGGGUUCAUUAUACCUUGCAUUUUGGUGAUUUCAGAACAACUCUUAUCUCCCUAACUGGACAAUAAAUUCCCUCUAUCAGGGUUGCAGGACAUCCAGAUUUGAAUUUCAGAUAAACAAUAAAUAAUGUUUAGUAAAGAUACAUCCCAAAGAUUUGCAUGGGGUAACAUAUUCUAUAUUUUUUAUUUGCUCAAUCUGGCGACCCUACCUUCAGAGCAUAAUCUGGAACUUAUUCACCUCUCUACCCUUCUCUUCCCAUGUUCAAGCUGGCAUGUGUUUUACACACAGUAGGUGCUCAAUAAACUCUUGUGAAAUGAAUAAUUGCAUGACUACAGACUGAGGGACUUAUAUUCAGGUUACAACAUUUCAGGAGACAUACUCCCAUUAUAGUUUUUUUUCUAUAGAAACAAAAGAAAAAAUGGAGAAUCUGGUCAUGUGGUAGCUUCCAAUUAAUUAAUUAGUUAAUGUUAAAUAAAUAUAUAAAACAUUACAUUUUCAUUAGUUGUAAGCAAACAAUUCAAUGGCAUCAAAUACAUGAAAUACAUUCACAACGCUGUGUGACUAUCACCACAAUCUAGACCUAAAACCUUUCAUUAUUGCCAAGAAAAAUCCUCUAUUAAACAAUAACUCUUCCUCCUUACCCUCAAUCUCUAGAAACUUCUUUUUCUGUGUCUAUGAAUUUGACUAUUCUCAGUGCUUUGUAUAAGUGGUAUCAUAUAUAUUCAUUCUUCUAUGAUUGGCGUAUUUCACUAAGCAUGUUUUCAAGGUCCAUUCAUGUUGUUACAUAUGUAAAAGGUUCACUCCUUUUGUGGCUAAAUAUUAUUCUGCUAUGUGCACAUACGUAUCUUGUUUAUCCAUUCAACUACUAAUGGGCCCUUGGGUGGUUUCCACCUUCCAGUUACUGUGAAUGAUGCUGCAGUGAGCGCUGGCAUAUAAAUAUCUGUUAGAGCCCCUGUCUUCAAUUCUUUGAAAUAUAUACCCAGGAGUGGAACUGCUGGUCAUGUGGUAGUUCUAUAUCUCAACUUCUGUUUUCCACAGUGACUGUACCCCUUCACACUCCCUCUAGCAAUGCAUGUGUGUUCCAGUUUCUCCACAUCCUUUGCCAGGACUUGUUUUUGUUUUUUUCUUCUCAAGUUAUAGCCAUCCUAUUGGGUAUGGAAUGGUAUUUCUUUAUGGAUUUGAUUUACUUCAGAGGUACCAAUUUUAACUUAGGAAAGAAAUGGUUUGUAACUGUGGCUUAGAAAAAUAGUUUUUUUAAAAAUAUUUUUUGUUGUAGAUGGACAUGCUACCUUUAUUUAUUAAUUAAUUAAUUUUUUAUGUGCUGCUGAGGAUCAAACCCAGUGCCUCAUGUAUGCUAGGCAAGUGCUCUGCCACUGAGUUUCAGCCCCAGCCCAUAGGAAAAUACUUUUAGCAGAUUUUUCAGUUAUAAAGGCAAAGCCCAGAACACAGUCUGCAACAGAAAGUUAAAGACAGCUAAAUUAUUCCACAUUUUUAUUGUGUGUAAUACUGAUUUUUACCUGGUAUCUAAUAAGAGACAUGUGGUGAGGGCCUCGAGAGAGGAUGAUAUCAAAGAUGGGAGAAGGCACUGGAUUGGGAGGAAGCCAAAUCCAGCAUCAAGAUAUCAGGAGGCUCACAGGAUGGACAGUCAGUGAUACCUGGUAUUUGGGUUUCUGUGGCUUCCUAUGCUGUUAUAAUUCCAAAUCCAUCUUAACCCCAAAAGUUUGGUAAAAGGGGAUUAUGUACAACACCUUAGAUUAAGAGUGCUUUAGGGAGUGAAAGGGGGGGAUUGUGUCUGUAUCUGGGGUGAGUCACCUUCAGAAUGAACUUCAGCCUUAGGAAAGUUGAAGAUACCACCAGGAGCCAGGAGAAGAUACAGAAGGAGUACUGGGCAACAAGUGACCACCAGGAGAAAGCUCCAGACAGCUCAUCAUCACCACAGAGCUGACGCUGUCAGGUUUUGGAUGCCCGGGAUCUGUUCCCUCUUCCUCCAGCUAUAGCUGGUGACCAGUGGGAAAGCACCGCUUCCUCCUAGCCUAUGGGGUCCUCAUGCCUUUGCUCUGGGGGUGUGCACAUGAUCUGCACCUGGCCAACCUGCAUUUUCCAUCCCUCUGACUGCAGCAUUGGUUCAGGACAGAACGUGUGACCAAAGUUGGACCCAUGAGAGGUAUCUCUAGGCCUUUUUCCACAGCUCUUGAGGAUUUCUGCCUAAGUUGUUAAGGGCCAUCUUUGCUACCCAUUGAGCCAAUACAGAAGCAAAGAGGUACAAGGGAUCGGAAGAUAACAUGGUACGAAGUCUGAUGACACCGAGCAUCUAGCCUCACACUCUUGGGCCAGGCAUUGAAGUCACAUGAGCCAAUCAAUUUAGUUUUUGCUUUAGCUUAUUAGUUGAUUUGGGUGGCUCUGAUUUUCACCCAAAAAGAUCCUGACAUGAGAGAGCUGUAAAAACUUGAGUUGAACCAUCUCAGCAAAGGAAAUUGCUGCUUCAACUAUUGUCCUUUUGCUUUGGCUGAAGGAGGACGCGAUCAUCCUCGUUUUCAAUCCCUCCUUCUCACGUCCUUAGUUUUCCAUACUGCAUUUAGGUAUUCCUUGUACCACCAUGCUGACAUGAAGCAGAAUUCCAUACAGCCCUCGUGUCCUUUGUGUGAAAAGGCUCAUGUCCAUGGAGAUGGCUGGUCAAGGGCAACGGUAUUUGAAGAAAUUACCCUGAUUUCUGAUGUUGCUGGGUGUUGAGUAGUUCCUUAGAGGAUGCAUCAGGUACUUGUCUUUAUAUUUUAUGAAUGUUAAAACCCUGGAAACAGAGUGUCAGAGGAUGAGAAGAGACUGGCUUUUAAAGAUGUUCUAUAUUUAAAUUAUAGCUGCAAGCUGCGUAUUUUCACCUACAUUAACAGCAGGGAAGCAGCUAUACUUUUCUGAACCAUUUGCCUCCUUAAUUGGUAACUAAGAUUGUCUUUUUCCAUUUUUUUUCCCCUCAGAAAGAACCACAUUUAUGCUCUUUUGGUCUGUAACAGGGUCGAAUUUAGUUACAUCAACAUCCUAAUUUUAAAACCAUCAGCUCAGCAACUUUUGUCCUUAGUCACUUGAGCACAGCUACUUGGAACACAUCAAAAAUUACCCUGAUUUUUGCUCCUGCUGGGCAUUCAGAAUUUCCUUAGAGGAUGUGUCAGGUACUGUCUUUGCUUCAAGAUCAUGAUGAAUAGAGUUGACUCCUUCACUGAAUGAGUGACUAAAGGAUACAUUAAAUCCCAGACUUGAGGAGUUAAAUGAGACAUCUGAAAUGCAUCAGGAAUUGGCAAGCACAUGAUCACCGGCUGGAUUAUGUGUCUUGAAGUUACAGUUUUUCUGUAUCUAUUCCAGGGUCUGGAAAGCUGCCAGACACCAUCAAUUUCAUUACUACAUGCUUCAAAUUUUCCUAUUGGAAAGUAUUUUCCUCUUUCUCUACCCUACACUGCCCUAAGCAAAAUUUAGAACGAAGUGGUUAUAAACAUGGAAUCCAGAGCCAAGAUGUUAGAAAGUGAACUUACCCUGUUACUUUCUGACAAGGUGACUUGACUUCUCUGGGACUUGGUAUUCUUUUCUUUAAAAUGGAUAUAAUCACAGAUCCUGCUUGGGAAGGAUGCUGUAAGGGAUAAAUGAGAUGAUACUCAUGCCUGGUAUAAAUGUUGCCCCGCCAGAAACUCACUGCUGGGUUAACUAUGCACAUCCUCUGCUGAGAACCAGAGGUUUGGAGUAAGGUUAUGCAUCUGUGACAACGUGUAUUAGUUUGUACAUACUAACAGAGACUAAGGGUGUCUUCUGUUCUGUGUCAACAGUGCUGGGCUUCACACUCCUUUGAGUCUAAAAAUUUGGUAAAGCCAAUUGAAAGAGAGAUACAGCUUACUGGAGUGGCCUGGACAUGGCAGGAGGGAGGUCAGGGUUAUGGUGUGGUUGUGGGGUUCACCUCUCUCUGUCUCACUCAGUCCUUUGGCUCAAGUACCAGGGUUCCUAUUUCUCCUUCUGGGAAAAGGAGUCAGUUAGACCCAGUCGGGCUUUGAACCCUGGUUUGUCUUCUGUGACCUCAGACACAAAUCUGGGUGCUAGGGGUUGAGUACUAGCUAGGGGUUGAGUACUAAGAUCGGUAAGUCACUGCUGGUAUUUACUCAAGCAACAGGCUCUCCAGUUACUGUCCUUUCAAAUUUUGAAUUCUUUCUUUACUCUAAUAUCAAGGCAAUGAUCAGUGGCAAACUAUUCCUCCUAAUUAAAGUUUUGUCUUUUACCAACAUCUUCUCCACCAGUAAUUACCAUUUUACUCUUAUAAGUCUGAUUUUUUUAGAUUUCAUUUAUAAGUGAGAUCAUGUGGUGUUUUUCUAUGCCUGCUCUAUUGCACUGAAAUAGGAUCCUAUUUAAUUAAUUAAAAAAACAUUUAUUUUUUAGUUGUUGUUGGACACAAUACCUCUAUUUUGUUUAUUUAUUUUUUACGUGGUGCUGAGGAUGGAACCUAGGGCCCAGCAUGUGCGAGGUGAGCGCUCUACUGCUGAGCCACAACCCCAGCCCCUAAUUUAUUUUUUUCCAUCUUUUUUAUUAGUGCAUUACAAUUGUACAUAAUGGUACAGUUAUUGGGGUUUGUUGUUACAUAGUCGCCAUGCACACAAUAUAACAAUAUAAUCUGGCCAAUAUCACUCCCCAGUAUUCCCCCUUUCCCUCUCUUCCUCCUUCCUCCUGGUCCUUUCCCCCUACUCUACCGAUCUCUCUUUAAUUUUCAUAAGAUUGCUGUCUACCUUUCUUUUCCUUUUUUUCUCUCUGGCUUUCACAUAUGAGAGAAAAUAUAACCCUUGACUUUCUGAGUUUGGCUUAUUUAAUGUAACAUAAUGCUGUCAAUUCCACCCAUUUUUCUGCAAAUGACGUAAUUUCAUUCUUCUUUAUGGCUGAGUAAAACUCCUUUGUGUGUACAUGUGUGUGUGUGUAUAUAUAUAUAUGUGCCUAUAUACAUAUGUGUGUAUAUAUACAUGUGCAUAUAUAUAUGUGUGUGUGUGUAUAUAUAUAUGACAUUUUCUUAAUCUGUCUUUCAUUGUUGGACAUCUAGGCUGGUUCCAUAAUUUGGCUAUUGUGAAUUGUGCUGCUAUAAACAUGAAUAUGCGUGUAUCAGUGUAGUAUGAUGACUUUAAUUCUUUUUUUUAAUUUAUUUUUUAGUUGUAGUUGGACACAAUACCUUUAUUUUAUUUAUUUAUUUUUAUGUGGUGCUGAGGAUCGAACCCAGGUCCUUGCAUGUGCUAGGCCAACGCUCUACCGCUGAGCCACAACCCCAGCCCUGAUGACUUUAAUUCUUUAGAACUAAGUGGUAUAGUUGGGUCAUAUGGUGGUUUCAUCCCUGGUCUUUUGAUGAGCCUCCAUACCAAUUUCCAUAGUGGUGCAUGAAUUUAAAGUCCUACUAACAGUAUAAAAGUGUUCCUUGUUCUCCACAUCUUCUUCACAUGAUCCCACUUAUAUUAUACAAAAUUUGUAUUUUUCUGUGUGUAUCAAAACAUCUGGAAGAAUAUAUCUGAAAUAAUAAGAUUAUCUCUAGAUAUCAGGCUGGUUUCUAUUUCUUCUUUUUUACUCUUCAACAUUGUCCAAAUUUCUCUAUCAUUAUCAUACAUUAUUAACUUGGUACUGGAAUACAAAAAAUAGUUAUUUCCUACUAGGGAAACAAAAAAGGAAAAUAUUCAAAAAAUACUUGUGAACAUGUUAACAGUGUUUGUCUUUAUUUGGAGAUUUCUUAUACUUUUUCAUUCUUAUUCUUUAUACUUAUUUUCAUUCUAAAAUUCUUUAAUGAAGAUACAUUACAGUAGUCUCAUUUUAUUCUUGGUUUUUGCUUUCCAAGAUUUCAAUUGCCUGAGCGCAACCAGGGUCUAAAAAUAUUAUGUACCAAAUUCCAGAAAUAAAUGCUGUUUUGAGUAUGUGAUAAAAUCUUAUGCCAUCUUGCUCUGCCUUGACCAGGACAUAAAUCAUUCCUUUGAAAAGGACAUGAAUCUACACUGUUUAUUAUACCACCUACCAAGUAGCCAUCUCAAUUAUCAGAUGAACUAUGGAGGCAUCUCAGUGCUUGUGUUCAAGUAACCCUUAUUUUACUUAAUAAUGGCCCGUAAGCACAAGAGUAAGGAUGCUGACAAUUUGGACAUACCAAAGAGAAGUCACAAAGUGCUUCUUUAAGUUAAAAGGUGAAAGUUCUCAACAAGGAAAGAAAAAAAAAUCAUAUUCUGGGGUUUCUUAGGUAAGUUAUUAUGGUUAAUUUCUUACUAUGCCUCAUUUUUAAAUUAAACCUAAUUUUAGGUAUGUAUACUAGGAAAAGUCAUAGUAUACAUAAGGUUCAACAGUAUCUGAGGUUUACGGCAUCCACUGGGGGAAAUAUUCUCUAUAGAUAAGGGGGAUUAUUGUUCUGCUUUUGUUUUUAUUAAUGGUUGUUAUUCCUUUUUUUUUUUUUUGUGGUGCAGGGGGAUUGAACCCAGAGCCUGGUGCAGGCAAGGCAAGCACUCUACUCACUGAGCUAUUUGACAUUCCUACAACUACACCAGCUACAUUUUGGCUUGUAUCUGCUUAUUCCACAGUUUUGCAUCUCUUUAUUUAUUCUUUCUUUGUUUUUUUGAGGUGGGGAUCUUACUAUAUUGCUGAGGAUGGUCUCUAAUUCCUGGGUUCAAGGGAUCCUCUUGUCCUCCUCUUGCCCCAAGUAGCUGGGAUGACAGGUGCAUGCCACUGUGUCCAGCUACAACAUCCCCCCCUUUUUUUUUUAACCUUUCUGAGCCUUUUAAAAAGUUUAUCUCUUAUAUAAUCUCAAAAUUAUGUUGACCAGAUAAUUUUUCUUUUAUUAUUGUGGUAAAAUGUCCUUAAUAUAAAUUUUACCAUUUUAAGUAUUUGUAAAUGUACACUUCAAUGGCAUUAAGUACACUCACAACAUUGUGUGAUCACCACCUCAUUUCCAGAACGUUUUCAUCAUCCCAACAGAAACUUCAUAACUGUUGGACAGUAAGUCCCCAUGUCUUCUGUCCCCAGCCCCCAGGGACCUCUGUUCUACUUUUUGCCUCUAUAAAAGUUGUAUCUCAUAGAAAUGGAACAUAUAAUAUUGUCCUGCUUUUUUCGACACCCUUCUUUAUAUUUAUUUUUUAGUUAUAGGUAGUCACAAAAUCUUUAUUUUAUUUUAUGUGGUGCUCAGAAUUGAACCCAGUGCCUCACGCAUGCUAGGCGAACACUCUACCUCUGAGCCACAACCCCAGCCCCUCUACACUCUUUUAAACAACUAUUUUUAUGGUUUGUAGCCAUCUCAAAAACUAGCAGAAAUUACAUGCACACUUGAAUGCAAUCAGAAAACUAUCAUUUUCUGUGAUCACGUAUCCUAACAUCAAUCACUCAUAAAAUAUGAAACAGUGUCUGCAGUUUCUCGAAUUUUAAUAACUGCACAAACUUCUUUAUGAAGAAAACAUUCACCUGUUGAAAGGGAGCACUAUUUGUCCGACUCGAAUGUGAGUUCAUCCUUUUCAGAUUCUCAGAUCACGCAGACACGUGGAAUCCUUGGGCUCCGGGAGUCACGCACCCGCCCUAAGACCUGAACUGGGAUCCGCAGGGGCCGCCCUGGGAGGCCGAGUCCAGGGCGGACAAACCUCCGCCUUCUCCUACUUGGGCCCUGACACUUUCUCUCCAGUCCAUCAGGCAUCAUUAGACAGAGACUUGGGGAAAGGGAGUCUUCAUUCCUCCGCGCACACGACGAUGCGUCCCGUGAACACCCCCAGCGAUAGACAGCCCCGCUCACCACGUUGAAAAGUGUCGGGCGACUCCACCGCACAGAAGUCCCUGCUGAGGAGCCCCUCGCCGCCUCCUGGGAGAGACCACUUGAGAGAGACACGCGCGCAGGGCUAGGGAAGCAGCUCAGUGUGGAGCGCGUGCCCAGCAGGCGGGAGAGCCCAGGUUCCUGCCCCAGCACCGCAGCCAGCGAAAGACAUAUGCGUGGAAGUCGUCGGCCCCGUUGGGCCCCGCCCCCAAGCCUGCCUAAGCCAAUCAGGGCCAGACAGCUGGGCGGGCGCGCCCCCUCGCGAAAAGUAGUGCCCACUCUAGGCACUACUCUGCCACCUGGCGCCGCCUCUGGCCGUGCUGAGUAAUGCAGAGGCGGGGUCGGGGACUCCAGUUGAUGAUAACUGACAAAGCCUCUCUUAGCUCAGUGGUAAAGCGCCCAAGAGUUCAAUCCCCAGUCCCAGCAACAAUUUAGGGAAUCAGUAGUAGCAGUUCUAAGAUUCAGAAAAAGGGAAAUAAGCAACCUAUCAACCUGUCUGCAGUGUUCAAGGAACUAGAAAAGCAGGACCAAACUGGGCCCAAAGGUAAUAGAAGGAAAAAAGUAAUGAUUAGAGCAAAAAUAAAUAAAACAGAGACUUGAAAGAUUAUAGAGAAGAUAAAAAAAAUGAAACAAUAAACCGGUUUUUGGAAAUGGUAAACAAAAUUGAAAAAAACUUUAGCUAGACUGAGAGAAAACUCAAAUAAAAAUUAUAAAUGAAGGAGAAGACAUUGCAAGUGAUACCCAAGAAAUAAGAUCAUAAUAGACUCUACUACCAGAGUGGAGUCAUCUCCUGGGCACCAUCCUCCGGGGCUUCCACAGGGGCUCAAGACCUAUCUCAGAGAUACAACAGGGCCUCUCAUGGUCUGGUCUUGUCCUGUCACCCCUCCUUCACCUACUCAGACUUUGACUUAAUUAUAGCAGAGAAGAGAUUUUGUUUGGUGAUAUUUCUCCCACUGCAUCAACUUAAGUCAGAUCCUUACAGUGUCUUUUUCUUUAAUAGGGAGACACCAUUAAAUUGCCAUCACUUUAUAUUAGAUUAGAUCUACCAUACUGAUUUCAUGAGUUUUUCUUAGAGAUCCUCCUGUCAUUUGUGAGAAAGGAUGGCUCUUUUGAUAUAUGGGAUACAAUUAUGUCUUUGUUUGUAAUCUUAAACUAGAUUAUUCAAUAUGGUUGCAUCUGCAAUUUUAUAAAAUGGUAUAAAUUCCUCAUAUAUCAAAACCAAAGAUCACAGAUGUGUGAAUCCCAUUGAAUAAAUUCAGGUAAAAAAUUAUUUACUUCUAUUUGCUCAUCUCUGAUGCUGAAAAUUUUGAGAACUCCUGAGAAAAAUAAAAAAUGACCAUUCUUCUUCUAAUGGGUUUAAGGUACUUUACAGGGUGCCAUGGAUGAGCUGAGUCAAAGGGUGGGGAGCAUUUUCUCAGAGGCUUGUGUGGGCAGAUGGUGCAUUAUGCUUUCUUCAUUGACAUCAACCUGGAGUCAUUUCCUUUUUUUUUUAAACAGGCGCAAUAUCUUUAUUUAUUAUUUUAAAUGUGGUGCAGAGGAUUGAACCCAGUGCUCCACACUUGCAAGGCAAGCACUCUGCCACUGAGCUUCAGCCCCAGCCCCUGGAGUCUUUUAAUCCCCUUCUGUAUACUGGGAUUGAAUAUAAUCUUACUAUUUCCCCCCUCUUUGCAACUGACCACAAAUUAAAUGAAUUUUCUCUGUUUCAUAAAAAAAGAAAGACCUAAUUUUGAUCCUUUUCAACCAUGUCUCCUCAUGGGAUGAGAUGACUCAAGAGAGAGUUGGGUCUUGAUCAAAAGGACUGAUCUGUCAGCAGGGGUCAUGGAAGAGGCAAGGCUCAUUCAAGUCAUUGUAUUAACUUGCACUGAACUUUUAAAAAAAGCUGUGUUUACCAAUUUCAAAUAUGUGGGAUGUAAAAUGUAUCUCGAAUUAAAUGAGUUUCCUUUUUUUUUUUUUUUUGAGAUUCUGGGGACUAAACCCAGGGCCUCACCUGUGCUAGUUAAGCACUCUACAACUGAGCUUUAACCUCAGCUACAUUUACAUGUUUUUCAGCUCAGUUUGUAAAGAAAAAAAGAAAGAAAAGUCUACAUUUUUUCCAUCAAGAAAUCUCUGGAGAUUCAGGAAUAGGGGGAAAUGUGUAGGGUUGGUAUUUCAAAUCUGGAAUGGAAUUGCUUUUGGCUCUCAAUAUGUUAGAUUUGACUCCCUUGUACCAUGGGCUUUUAUGAUCCAGGAAAAUAUUUGUGGCGGGGAAGUAAUAUUUGCUCACUUGUUUUCAUAUAUAGAGUGUUAGAGUCUGUAAACAAGUCAGGAUGGCACCUGGUAUUUUGCCAGGGGGAGUGGUUAAUGUUAAGGUCUGUAAACAAGUCUGGAUGGCGCCUGGCAAAAUGCCAGAGGGAGUGGUUUGUGAAGUAACGCCAGAGAGCCAUUAAGUGUGGAGAUUUCUUAUUGGUUGACUGCUGUAUCUAGUUUAUGUUAAUUAGAUAAGCUGUGUGGAAUGUAUAAAUACCUCUGUUGUCCUACAAUAAACGGCUUCCACUCCUGCUGUAUCAACGUACACAA